RNAcentral lists this microRNA precursor (57 nucleotides) under Pristionchus pacificus. RNAcentral describes it as "microRNA ppc-mir-2253c precursor". It matches the Rfam family "mir-2253 microRNA precursor family". The record is from miRBase by way of RNAcentral. Lineage: Eukaryota; Metazoa; Nematoda; Chromadorea; Rhabditida; Neodiplogasteridae.
CGGAGUUCCAACAGGCCAUACAACUUUGCGUUUGCAUGGCACUGCUGAAACUCCGAA